This 108-nucleotide ribosomal RNA is filed under the name Crocodylus porosus (Australian saltwater crocodile). The record is from RNAcentral. Lineage: Eukaryota; Metazoa; Chordata; Crocodylia; Crocodylidae.
CCUUGCUGUCAUGCAACACUGAAGGCAUCUGACAUUGGCAGCUAUGCAGUCAUGGGCCUGCGUAGUACUUGAACAGGAGACCACCCUGGAUUCUCGGCGCCAUAGAGC